CUUUUUCUGUUUUUCUUAUGGUACUCGCAAGCCCAAGAUCAAACACUUACUAUUUUUUAUUUUUUACUUAUAGACCUCUCGUGUGCACGAAGUGUUAUUCCGUCAUUGCUUUUUGCAUUUCCUUAAGAACUAAUGAAAUUGGACGUCUUUUCAUGUGCUUAUCGGUCACUUGCAUGUCUAUGGAGAAAUGUCCAUUCAAAUCUGCUGUGGUUUGAAUAUAUCCUCCGCAGUUCGUGUGUUGGAAACUUGCUCCCCAGGGCAGUGGCGUUGGGAGGUAGGACCGUUCAGAGGUCACGAGGGCUGUGCUCUCAUGGUUGGAUUAGUGCUGUUAUCAAGGUCGUAGGUUUGUUAUUGUGGGAGGAAAUUUCUUAUAAAAGCACAAGUCAGCUCCUUGUUGCUCUCUCACUCUCUUUGCCCUUCUGCCAUGGGUUGAUGUGGCAAGAAAGUCCUUGCUAGAUGCCAGCCCCUUGAUCUUGGACUUCCCAGCUUCUCAAAGUGUGAGGCAAUACAUUUCUUUCUUUUUUGUAGAUGGGGUUUGGCUUUUGUUGUUCAGGCUGGAGUGCAAUGGCAUGAUCUCAGCUCACCGCAACCUCCGCCUCCUGGGUUCAAGUGAUUCUCCUGCCUCAGCCUCCCGAGUAGCUGGGAUUACAGGUAUGCACCAUUAUGCCUGGCUGAUUUUGUAUUUUCAGUAGAGACAUGGUUUCUCCAUGUUGGUCAGGUUGGUCUUGAACUCCUGACCUCAUGCGAUCUGCCCACCUGGGCCUCCCAAAGUGUUGGGAUUACAGGCUUGAGCCAAUAAAUUUCUUUCAUUAUAAAUUACCCAGUCUUAGGUAUUUAGUUAAAGCAGCACAAAAUGGACUAAGAAAAUAUUUUCUCUUUUCAAGUUGGAUUAUGCCUUUUUACUAUUGAGUACAAGAGUUGUUAAAAAUAUAUUAUUGAUACUUGAUUUUCAUCAGAUAUGUGAUUUGCAAAUACUUUUUCCUUUCCAGUUCCUUGAUUGUAUCCAUGGAAACACAAAGGCUUUACAUUUUGCUGAAGCCCAGUAUAUUUGUUUUUUCUUUGAUUGCUUAUGCUUUUGGUGUCCUAGCCAAGAAGCUAUUACCUAAUCCGAGUACAUGAAGAUUUACAGCCAUGUUUCCUUCAAAGAGUUUUAUAGUUUUAGCUUUUAUAUUGAAAUUUUUGAUCCAUUUUGAGUUAUUUUUUCUAAAUGGUGUGAGGAAGGAUCCAAAUGUGUUAUCCUGCAUGUGGGUAUCUGGUUGAAAAGACUGUUCUUUGUACCAUUGGUUAUCUUACCAUCCGUGUCAAAAACCAAUUGACCACUGAUGUGUGUGUUUACUUCUGGGCUCUCCAUUUCAUUACAUUGAUUUAUAUGUUUAUCCUUCUCCCAGUAACAAUACAAGCCUGAUAACUAUAGCUUUGUAGUAUGUUUUGAAAUUGGAAAGUAUGAAUCUUCCAGUUUUGUUCUACCUUUUCCAAAUUGUUUUGGCUAUUCAGAGUCUCUCAAAAUUUGGUAUGAAUUUUAGAAUCAUAUCAUCAAUUUCUACAAAAAGGCCAACUGGGAUAACUUAUGUUUUAAAAGUAAAGCUAUGGAUGCUGCAUGGAGAAUAUACUAUAGAGAAAACAGUUAUGAGGUCACUUUAGCUGUCCAGGUAAAAGAUGAAAGGUGGCUUGGAAUAGGGUAUUAGCCAUAGAAUUGGUCAGGAGUGGUGGGAUUUUUGAAGUUGCAGCUCCCUGAGUUUACAGGUGGAUUGCAUAUGGGGUGCAAGCAAAAGAGAAGAGUGAAGGACGAGUAUAAAUUUUGACCCAGGCAACUGAGUGCUGUUUUCAUUGCUGAGAUGGGGAACCCUGAAGAAAGAGAACAGGUUAGGGCGGAAAAUAAAGUAUUAUCUUUGGGACGUGCUAAGUUUGAGAUACCUAUUAGAAAUUCUUGUGGAAAUGACAAGUAGAAUAUUACACAUACAUGUAUAUGUGUGUAUUUGUAAUUAUAUCUAUAUCUGGGAAAGAUCAGAGCUGAAGAUAUGAGUUAAUGUACAGAUGGUGUUCAACAUCUUGAGACUGAAUGAGGUAAAGAAAAGAAUGGGAAAAGAGAAAAGAGAUAUGAAGACUGGUUGUGGGGUACUCCAACUUUUAGAGGUUUCAAAGAGUAAGUGGGUACAACAAAGAUGCAGACAAUAAGAAGCCAGGAAAGUUUGUGUAGUAUCUUGGAUGGGAAGGGAAGAAAAUGUUUCAAGAUGGAAGCAAUGAUUAACUGUGUCAUAAACUGAGAGAGUGAGUAAAAUGAGGACUGAGAAUUAUGUAUUGGAGGUCACUGAAGAACACGUCUUCAGCAGUGUGGAGACAAAAGAGUAGAGUGAAUUUGAGAAGGAACAGGAAGGAAUGAAGUGAAAACAAGACUCUUUCAAAGGCUUUUUCCCCCCCUUAAUUUGUUUUCCUGAUAGAAAAUUUUAUGCAGAAAUGUAGCGAGUUUAGAGACUUCCAUUUCCAGCCAAGAUGGAGUAACAGGGACCUUUUUUACUCUCCUGCAUGAAAUAAUUGAAAAGUGGACAAAAUAUAUGAAAGAGUGGUUUGAAAGACCCUAGGAAUCAGGCAACAAAAGACAAUGAUACCUCAGAGCCAAAAACGAAUGAGCCAUAUGACUACCAAAGCUUACUGCCUCUCCUUUUAGCCCUCAGCUGGGGAGAGGGGCAGAGCCCAGGAGGACUCCAUGAGUUGAGAUAAUGGAGCCGAGAGUCUAGGGAGACCAAGGUAGCUAGAGUUUACAAAACAGAGAGAGCUACACACAGACAGGACAGAAUUUUAGAGAUCUGCAGAGGGUACCCUUGAUUAUUUAGCUGAGAACUCAUUAGCACAUGGUCCCACUGAAAGGGUUGGAGAGAACAUUGCCUGGUACUCACAUAGCACUGGAAAUAGUGCCUUUUCCCUGCAACAAAGUGGAAAGCAUUACAAUGUGCAUGGCGUUUGGUAGAGUACAUAAAGGGGUUUGCCCCAGUAGCGAGACUAUAGACAAACAUUGCUGUGGUCCAGCCUAACAUAUUUUAAAAGCAUAAUUCAAAAUGAUCAAAUCAUUGCUAAGUAACUUCACCAUAUUCUAGGAUAAAACUCAAGAAUUCAGGAUUAUAAAUACAUCCAGCACCUUUCAAGGUAAAAUUCAUGAUGUCUGACAUCGAAUCAAAGAUUAUCAGAUAAAAAAAGAAGCAAGAAAAUGCUGCCCACAAUUAGGUAGUAAAUCAGUCAAUCAAAACUAGCCCAGAACUGACACAGGUGAUAGAAUUAUAAACAAAGAUUUGCUAUUAUUAUUAGUUAACCUUAUUAUGAUUAUUAGCUAUUAUGACUCUACAAUAUGUUCAAAAAGUUAAAUAGAGGUAUGGAUCAUAUAAAAAUAUAAAAUGAUACUUACAGAAAUGAAAACUAAAAUAUCAGAAAUGAAAAUACACCAGAUGGGAUUAAUAGCAGAUCAGACAUUGUAAAAGAAAAGACUAGUGAACCGGGCUCAGUGGCUCACACCUGUAAUCCCAGCACUUUGGGAGGCCAUCGUGGGUGGAUCAUGAGAUCAGGAGUUCGAGACUAGCCUGGCCAAAGAGAACAGCUUGGCUAAAAUGAUGAAACUCCAUCUCUGCUAAAAAUACAAAUGUUAGCCAGGCAUGGUGGCACACACCUGUAAUCCCAGCUACUCAGGAUGCUGAGGCAGGAGAAUUGCUACCUAGAGGUAGAGGUUGUUGUGAGCCAAGAUCAUGCCACUGCACUCCAGCCUGAGUGACAGAGUGAGACUCUGACUCAAAAAAAAAAAAAAAAAAGAAAGAAAGAAAAGAAACGACUAGUGAAUGUGGAGAUAUAACAAUAGAAACUGCCUAAAAUGAGACACACAGAGAUAAGAGAAUAAUAUUAAUAAUUGAAAACUGAGCAGAGUAUCAGGGACCUGUGGAAUGUUACAUAUGUAAUUGGGAGAGUAGCCUGGGCGACAAAGAGAGACCCUGUCUCCAGAAAAAAAAAAAAAAAAAAAAGGGGAGUGCUCCACUAUCUCACCUCUCUUCACAACAGCCCUAUGGGGUAGUGUAUGACUGUCUCAGCCCCUGUUAACAGCUGUGGAAAGCUAGACUUACAGAAUUAGGCUACUGCCUAUUGUCACAUCUCAGAAGCAUCAGAGCCAGAAUUGAAAUCCAAGUCCAUGUGUCUACAAAGUCCUUGCCCUUAACAAUAAUUUUCUGUCAAAGCACCUCCCUUGAUGAGUGAAAUUUUUCCUGGCAAGAGUAGAAAUAUGCAUGUUUUCCCUUCAAUUCUCAUUUAUUAUAGAGACCACAUUUUGACAAGAAUAAAGGAACUCAGAAGAAUGAAAGUAAUUCACAGUUCCAGAUCCUGUUCAGCCAGUUUGCAUUUUUCUCCAUUUCCUUUUGACCCUUCUCCAACCACACAUAGUUUACAUAGUUGUAGAUGCAAUUUUGUUUUCUGCUCUUAUGCUUAAUGUUAUACCAAACAUUUUUCUUGUUGCAAUUUAGGCUGAUAGAUGCACAAUAUUCCGUUUUGUUAAGGCGCCACAGUUUAAACAGUCACCCAUGACGGACAAUAUUUGUUUCCAGUUUCUUCCUGUUUUAAAUGCUGCUACAGCAAACCAUUUUGUUUUCCGCCCGUCUUUUGUUACUCUUUUCUUAGAAUAAAUUCCCAGGAGUGAGAUUACCAAACAAGAAUGUGAGCAUGUUUAUGGAUUUAAUCUUUAAAAGGAAGUGAAAUUAAGAGAGUUUGUAUCUUCCAUCACGGUGGAUACAUUUCACAGCUGGCAAGAACAGAUUAACUCCGUGAAUUAUUGUUCAGGUGGAGCAAAGUUAAAGACAGGUGGGAACUGACUGCUGGUGGGGACAGGGGUUCUUUUUGAGGUGGUGCAAUGUUCUGGAAUAAGCUAGAGGCCACAAUUACACGACUUUGCCAAUGUGCUAAGAACAUUGAAUUGUGUGUACUUUAAAGGGAUGGAUUUUGUGGUAUGUGAAUUAUAUACCAAUAAAGCUAUUAUUAAAAACUAAAGGAAAAAUUUCUGACACUCUUAGUAGUAGUUUUAACCAUUGCUAUAGGAGAGUUCUAGAUUUGUUUUUGUAUUUGGAGGCAGCGUAUAAUAGUGUGGAAGAACGUAAGACUAUCAGGGUUUGAACUGCAGGGUCAUGACUUAGCUGCUGUGGGACCCUUGGCAAGUGCUGUAGGUUGGGUCCUCCAGAAUCCGGUGCUGAGAUAGAGUUUGGGGUGCAGGGUGUUUGCAAGGGUCAACACAGGGCAGGCCCAUGGUGGAGCAGGACUGGGCAGAGAAAGGGGUGGGAAGGAGAUACCGGCCAGACACAGCUGGGCCAGCCCUGCGGGAGCCCUGACAGUUAGCGCGCCUACACUGGGCUGAAAUGGCCAGACCUUUACACACGGGCCUGGCUCCUAGGCCUGCUGUGAGCGGCCUGCGAAGGCCCUCAUUAAUGAGGGGCUCUGUAUCUAAGGCUGACCUGAACAGCUGGCAGAAGAAGGCUCACGGCAUUGGUCCCCUCCCCACAGCCAGGCAACGAGGCCAGGUCUGACCGGGGUGUGGGGUGUGGGUGGCACCCCUCUGUGUCUACCACAGCAAGUUGCUUUCACCUCAGUUUCCUCACCUGUAAAAUUGAAAUGAUAACAGUGACUACCACUUAGGAUUGCUAGAAAAUGAAAUGCAGUGACUUCUAAGUACACAUGAAAUACUUAGAACAGUGCUGGGCAUGUCAUAAAUGUUCAAAACCUACUAGCUACUGUUAUUUAUUAUUACUCCAUUGAAUAACAUAGUCAGCUUUGGCCAGACUAUGCUAAAGAGUUGCUGUGCAGCAUAUACACUGAGAAGUCUGUGAAGACUUAAAAAAAGACCUUAUUUUAUGAAUCAGUUUGAAGUCCACAGCAAAAUGGAGCCCUCGCUCCCACAUGUGCACAACCUCUUUCAAUAUUCUGAAGACUUUUUUUUUUGAGAUGGAGUUUUGCUCUUGUUGCCCAGGCUGGAGUGCAGUGGCAUUGCAGCUCACUACAACCUCCGCCUCUCAGGUUCAAGUGCUUCUCCUGCCUCAGCCUCCUGAGUAGCUGGGAUUACAGGCAUGUACCACCAUGCCUGGCUAAUUUUGUAUUUUUAGUAGAGAUGGGGUUUCACCAUGUUGGACAGGCUGGUUUCGAACUCCUGACCUCAAGUGAUCCACCUGCCUGGGCCUCCCAAAGUGCUGUGAUUACAGGUGUGAGCCACCACACCCGGCCAUUCUGAAGACUUUUAAGAAAAGGCAUAACAGCUUUCUGAGAGGGCUUAUGUGUGUGUUGAGGCCAGAAUCAGCCGGAACUACAAGGAGUGAGGUGAAUGAUGUGAAAGCUUCCCUGCCUCCAGUUCCCCAUGAUCUGCCUGUGCUUGACUGAUACUUCUGUCCAUUCAGUUACUCUUGGUCGUUAACAGCUCUACAUGGUGAGGAUGGGUUUAUUGGACUCUUUUACUAUCACAGUUAACUGAGAGCAGAACCUCUCAGGAAGUCAGGUUUUGAUAAAUAGGUUAGGGUUCUAGAAUGGGAGGAGCUACCUAGUGCAGGGAUUAGGGGCAGUGGGCCUGGAUGUCACAAAGAACAGAGCAUGUGCAUUUAUGGUGAGGGCAGCAUGGGCCUGUGCGUGGCCUGUCUGCAGAGCUGUGUGGGAGGAUCCAGAGAGGAAAGGGAUGCUCAGAAAAGGAGUUGGCAGUCUGGGGAUUACUGGCGCUAGGACUUCAGCUGGGGCUUCACCAUGUGGUCAAGGCUUCCUGACGGCAUGGCCACUGCUUUUGAAGACCCCUCAGGCCUCCAACACUCCAGCUCUGACAGUGAAGAUGAUCUGCAGAAGAGCUGGCGCCCUUCACCAUGGAAUAAACCCAGGAUUCAGAGAAGCUGAAGAAGCGGUUCUGGUGGGAGCUGGAGGCAGUGCAGGCACAGCUGCUACCCUGUACCAAUAAAUGCAGCCAGUGGGUGCAGGGCAUCGUGUGUGAGCCCCCACAGCGCUGUGGUGGGCCCUACGCAGACUUUUUGAUUGUAAACAUGAUUGCUGUUUCACUCUGCCUUCCACAUUUUGGUCAGAUUUUUUCAGAAACGUAGUUCCAGCUUAGGCACGCUGACACGGUACAAAGCCACCACAGUAGCUGGCCAGGGAGGGAUUAUGAGUGCAGGCUGAGAAUGCACAGGAAGCGUUGCCUAUUUAUGGAGUAGGUACUAUUUAAGGGUUUAUGUGCAUCAGACGCAAAGAACUCAACCAAAGGUGGGGAAAGUUAGUGCUUAGAAAUCCGUGACACUAGAUAACCAGUAAAUACAAAUAGAC
Callithrix jacchus (white-tufted-ear marmoset) is the source of this 7305-nucleotide long non-coding RNA. RefSeq lists it as uncharacterized. The record is from RefSeq and is a predicted model, not a curated record. NCBI's taxonomy places the organism in Eukaryota, Metazoa, Chordata, Mammalia, Primates, Cebidae.